UCCUGUCCUCAGGGCGGGGUGGAAGUCCCCACCGGCGGUGUCGCGGCCAAGCCGCGCGAGCCCGCGAACGGUCCCCAUGGCGGGGACCGCCGAUCCGGUGCGAACCCGGAGCCGACGGUCAGAGUCCGGAUGAGAGAGGACAGAA
RNAcentral lists this non-coding RNA (145 nucleotides) under Microbacterium azadirachtae. Its description in RNAcentral is "FMN sequence". It matches the Rfam family "FMN riboswitch aptamer (RFN element)". From Rfam's summary of the family: The RFN element is a highly conserved domain that is found frequently in the 5'-untranslated regions of prokaryotic mRNAs that encode for flavin mononucleotide (FMN) biosynthesis and transport proteins. The record is from Rfam by way of RNAcentral. Lineage: Bacteria; Bacillati; Actinomycetota; Actinomycetes; Micrococcales; Microbacteriaceae.